RNAcentral lists this ribosomal RNA (253 nucleotides) under uncultured bacterium. RNAcentral's name for it is "partial 16S ribosomal RNA". It matches the Rfam family "Bacterial small subunit ribosomal RNA", at positions 524 to 776 of the family's 1533-position model. The record is from RNAcentral.
UACAGGGGGGGCAAGCGUUGUUCGGAAUUACUGGGCGUAAAGGGCUCGUAGGCGGCCAACUAAGUCCGACGUGAAAUCCCCAGGCUUAACCUGGGAACUGCGUCGGAUACUGGUUGGCUUGAAUCCGGGAGAGGGAUGCGGAAUUCCAGGUGUAGCGGUGAAAUGCGUAGAUAUCUGGAGGAACACCGGUGGCGAAGGCGGCAUCCUGGACCGGCAUUGACGCUGAAGAGCGAAAGCCAGGGGAGCAAACGGG